This 202-nucleotide unclassified non-coding RNA is filed under the name plant metagenome. RNAcentral's name for it is "partial contains small subunit ribosomal RNA and internal transcribed spacer 1". The stretch from base 1 to 46 matches the Rfam family "Eukaryotic small subunit ribosomal RNA", at positions 1786 to 1831 of the family's 1831-position model. The record is from RNAcentral.
AAGUCGUAACAAGGUCUCCGUAGGUGAACCUGCGGAAGGAUCAUUCAUAAUAAGUGUUCUACUGCACUUUUUUAAAAAUAGUACUCACCUUGUGUGCAAUGUUGUGUGGAGUCCUCUUUUGAAGACUUCACACCUACACCAACCUUUAAUUUGAACCACUUUGUCUGAAAAAACUAUUAUGAAUACUUAAUUCAAAAUACAA